This 397-nucleotide ribosomal RNA is filed under the name uncultured bacterium. RNAcentral describes it as "partial 16S ribosomal RNA". It matches the Rfam family "Bacterial small subunit ribosomal RNA", at positions 523 to 918 of the family's 1533-position model. The record is from RNAcentral.
AUACGUAGGUGGCAAGCGUUGUCCGGAUUUAUUGGGCGUAAAGCGAGCGCAGGCGGUCUCUUAAGUCUGAUGUGAAAGCCCCCGGCUCAACCGGGGAGGGUCAUUGGAAACUGGGAGACUUGAGUGCAGAAGAGGAGAGUGGAAUUCCAUGUGUAGCGGUGAAAUGCGUAGAUAUAUGGAGGAACACCAGUGGCGAAGGCGGCUCUCUGGGCUGUAACUGACGCUGAGGCUCGAAAGCGUGGGGAGCAAACAGGAUUAGAUACCCUGGUAGUCCACGCCGUAAACGAUGAGUGCUAAGUGUUGGAGGGUUUCCGCCCUUCAGUGCUGCAGCUAACGCAUUAAGCACUCCGCCUGGGGAGUACGGCUGCAAGGCUGAAACUCAAAUGAAUUGACGGGG